Molecule: ribosomal RNA, 253 nt
Filed under: uncultured bacterium
Lineage: Bacteria
Description: partial 16S ribosomal RNA
Rfam family: Bacterial small subunit ribosomal RNA
Source: RNAcentral
UACGGAGGGGGCAAGCGUUGUUCGGAAUUAUUGGGCGUAAAGGGCGUGUAGGCGGCUUUACAAGCCCGGUGUGAAAGGCCACCGCUUAACGGUGGGAGUGCGCUGGGAACUGUAGGGCUAGAGUUCAGGAGGGGAAGCUGGAAUUCCUGGUGUAGGGGUGAAAUCUGUAGAUAUCAGGAAGAACACCGGUGGCGAAGGCGAGCUUCUGGCCAUGAACUGACGCUGAGGCGCGAAAGCGUGGGGAGCGAACAGG